RNAcentral lists this long non-coding RNA (657 nucleotides) under Jatropha curcas. RNAcentral's name for it is "long non-coding RNA (JCUR_LNC000843)". Lineage: Eukaryota; Viridiplantae; Streptophyta; Magnoliopsida; Malpighiales; Euphorbiaceae. The record is from RNAcentral.
GCAAGUGAAGUUCACAUUAUAACAAAUGAACGCAAAGGAGAUACAGGAAAACACACCCAUUAUCAAGAUCAUGAUAAUUUUGACAAAAUAUAUUUAAUUAUCUAUCUCACUGUAUUUUCAAAUGCUUAUAUAUAUAUAUAUAUAUAUUGUCAUACACGAGACAAGCAUAAAUUCGUAAUUUGUAACUUGUAAACCCCGUGCAUUUAUUUUCUAUGUAUAUGACAAAAUAUCACCCAUGGUUGCCAGGGCCACCAGGUGAGUGACCUGAUCCACCGGGGCGUGAACCAUGAUAGCCCACUCCACUUUUACUUUCUCAUAACCCUUGGGUUCUCUUUAUUUUCAUCGACAACUGCCGCUGAAUAAGAAAUUGAUGGUUUGAAUAUUUAGUAUCUUUACAUCAAAACGUAAAUAUCAGUAUUAUUACUAGAACUAGAACUAGAAGUAGAAGGAGAAGAGAGAAGAGAGAGCCUUACUGGUUUUGGGGACUCGAGUUAUUUCGAGCAAUAGCAGUAUUAUAAGAUGCAAACAAAAUGAGGAAAAGGAUUGGGAUAGCAUAGGAAGCCAUUUUAACCAUUUCAGUUACUUUCUUCUAUUAAAGGAGAAGAGUAAUCACGGCAUAUCAAUUCCUUCGUCACCAUUAUAUACUCUAAAAGUUUC